AUUGAACGCUGGCGGCAUGCUUUACACAUGCAAGUCGAACGGCAGCGCGGGCUUCGGCCUGGCGGCGAGUGGCGAACGGGUGAGUAAUACAUCGGAACGUGUCCAGUAGUGGGGGAUAGCUCGGCGAAAGCCGGAUUAAUACCGCAUACGACCUGAGGGUGAAAGCGGGGGAUCUUCGGACCUCGCGCUAUUGGAUCGGCCGAUGGCGGAUUAGCUAGUUGGUGGGGUAAAGGCCUACCAAGGCGACGAUCUGUAGCUGGUCUGAGAGGACGACCAGCCACACUGGGACUGAGACACGGCCCAGACUCCUACGGGAGGCAGCAGUGGGGAAUUUUGGACAAUGGGCGAAAGCCUGAUCCAGCAAUGCCGCGUGUGUGAUGAAGGCCUUCGGGUUGUAAAGCACUUUUGGCGGGAACGAAAAGGACUGUGCCAAUACCACGGUUCGAUGACGGUACCCGCAGAAUAAGCACCGGCUAACUACGUG
This 484-nucleotide ribosomal RNA is filed under the name uncultured bacterium. Its description in RNAcentral is "partial 16S ribosomal RNA". It matches the Rfam family "Bacterial small subunit ribosomal RNA", at positions 29 to 507 of the family's 1533-position model. The record is from RNAcentral.